GCCCUUAUGACCUGGGCUACACACGUGCUACAAUGGGCAGAACAAAGGGCAGCGAAGCCGCGAGGCUAAGCCAAUCCCACAAAUCUGUUCUCAGUUCGGAUCGCAGUCUGCAACUCGACUGCGUGAAGCUGGAAUCGCUAGUAAUCGCGGAUCAGCAUGCCGCGGUGAAUACGUUCCCGGGCCUUGUACACACCGCCCGUCACACCACGAGAGUUUGUAACACCCGAAGUCGGUGAGGUAACCUUUUGGAGCCAGCCGCCGAAGGUGGGACAGAUGAUUGGGGUGAAGUCGUAACAAGGUAGCCGUAUCGGAAGGUGCGGUUGGAUCACCUCCU
RNAcentral lists this ribosomal RNA (334 nucleotides) under Bacillus licheniformis. Its description in RNAcentral is "bacterial SSU rRNA". It matches the Rfam family "Bacterial small subunit ribosomal RNA", at positions 1198 to 1531 of the family's 1533-position model. The record is from RNAcentral. Lineage: Bacteria; Bacillati; Bacillota; Bacilli; Caryophanales; Bacillaceae.